CCUACGGGGGGCUGCAGUGAGGAAUAUUGGUCAAUGGACGAGAGUCUGAACCAGCCAAGUAGCGUGAAGGAUGACUGCCCUAUGGGUUGUAAACUUCUUUUAUAUGGGAAUAAAAUGUUCCACGUGUGGGAUUUUGUAUGUACCAUAUGAAUAAGGAUCGGCUAACUCCGUGCCAGCAGCCGCGGUAAUACGGAGGAUCCGAGCGUUAUCCGGAUUUAUUGGGUUUAAAGGGAGCGUAGGUGGAUUGUUAAGUCAGUUGUGAAAGUCUGCGGCUCAACCGUAAAAUUGCAGUUGAAACUGGCAGUCUUGAGUACAGUAGAGGUAGGCGGAAUUCGUGGUGUAGCGGUGAAAUGCUUAGAUAUCACGAAGAACUACGAUGGCGAAGGCAGUUCACUGGACUGCAACUGACACUGAGGCUCGAAAGUGUGGGUAUCAAACAGGAUUAGAUACCCCAGUAGUC
This 460-nucleotide ribosomal RNA is filed under the name uncultured bacterium. RNAcentral describes it as "partial 16S ribosomal RNA". It matches the Rfam family "Bacterial small subunit ribosomal RNA", at positions 338 to 795 of the family's 1533-position model. The record is from RNAcentral.